GUCGAACGAUCCCUUCGGGGAUAGUGGCGCACGGGUGCGUAACGCGUGGGAAUCUGCCCUUGGGUUCGGAAUAACUUCUGGAAACGGAAGCUAAUACCGGAUGAUGACGUAAGUCCAAAGAUUUAUCGCCCAAGGAUGAGCCCGCGUAGGAUUAGCUAGUUGGUGAGGUAAAGGCUCACCAAGGCGACGAUCCUUAGCUGGUCUGAGAGGAUGAUCAGCCACACUGGGACUGAGACACGGCCCAGACUCCUACGGGAGGCAGCAGUAGGGAAUAUUGGACAAUGGGGGAAACCCUGAUCCAGCAAUGCCGCGUGAGUGAUGAAGGCCUUAGGGUUGUAAAGCUCUUUUACCCGGGAUGAUAAUGACAGUACCGGGAGAAUAAGCUCCGGUUAACUCCGUGCCAGCAGCCGCGGUAAUACGGAGGGAGCUAGCGUUGUUCGGAAUUACUGGGCGUAAAGCGCACGUAGGCGGCUAUUCAAGUCAGAGGUGAAAGCCCGGGGCUCAACCCCGGAACUGCCUUUGAAACUAGAUAGCUUGAAUCCAGGAGAGGUGAGUGGAAUUCCGAGUGUAGAAGUGAAAUUCGUAGAUAUUCGGAAGAACACCAGGUGGCGAAGGCGGCUCACUGGACUGGUAUGGCGCUGAGGUGCGAAAGCGUGGGGAG
RNAcentral lists this ribosomal RNA (661 nucleotides) under uncultured Alphaproteobacteria bacterium. RNAcentral describes it as "bacterial SSU rRNA". It matches the Rfam family "Bacterial small subunit ribosomal RNA", at positions 61 to 768 of the family's 1533-position model. The record is from RNAcentral. Lineage: Bacteria; Pseudomonadati; Pseudomonadota; Alphaproteobacteria.